AGUUAUUCAUAUAGUACGAUCAAGUGUAGUAUCUAUUCUUAUCGGUAUAUAUCCUAUACCAACUAUUUUUUAGGGGAAAGUCCGCACGGUAGCUUGCUAUUGGAAUUCAGGACCUUCAAGCGUCCUUUGGCGUUGCACUACUGACUUGGCUUAGCGCACCCCAC
Molecule: small nuclear RNA, 164 nt
Filed under: Solanum tuberosum (potato)
Lineage: Eukaryota; Viridiplantae; Streptophyta; Magnoliopsida; Solanales; Solanaceae
Description: U2 spliceosomal RNA
Rfam family: U2 spliceosomal RNA
About the family: U2 is a small nuclear RNA (snRNA) component of the spliceosome (involved in pre-mRNA splicing). Complementary binding between U2 snRNA (in an area lying towards the 5' end but 3' to hairpin I) and the branchpoint sequence (BPS) of the intron results the bulging out of an unpaired adenosine, on the BPS, which initiates a nucleophilic attack at the intronic 5' splice site, thus starting the first of two transesterification reactions that mediate splicing.
Source: Rfam by way of RNAcentral